UACGUAGGGGGCAAGCGUUGUCCGGAGUUACUGGGCGUAAAGCGCACGCAGGCGGUCUUUUAAGUUUGGAGUGACAGUUGGUGGCUUAACUGCCAAAGUGCUUCGAAAACUGAAAGACUUGAGGGCUUCAGAGGGACACGGAAUUCCGGGUGGAGUGGUGAAAUGCGUAGAGAUGUGGAGGAACACCAGUGGCGAAGGCGGCUUGCUGGGCUGUAACUGACACUGAGGAACGAAAGCUAGGGUAGCGAAUGGG
RNAcentral lists this ribosomal RNA (253 nucleotides) under uncultured bacterium. RNAcentral's name for it is "partial 16S ribosomal RNA". It matches the Rfam family "Bacterial small subunit ribosomal RNA", at positions 524 to 776 of the family's 1533-position model. The record is from RNAcentral.